CUGACUGCGUGUACGGCUCUCCAUUUCCAAGUCGUGCACAGCUUUAAUAAGGAGGAAAACAGCACGCCCGGACUCGGGCUGCGGCAGUGUGGAGACCUGUCGCAUAAGCGGCGCAUUCCCCGCGAAUGGCCGUGAGGGCGUUCCUUGCGAAGGCAGAACGCUCAGAGUCGAGAAACAUGGCA
RNAcentral lists this non-coding RNA (182 nucleotides) under unclassified sequences. Its description in RNAcentral is "malK-I RNA". It matches the Rfam family "malK-I RNA". The record is from RNAcentral.